CAUGCAGUCGAGGGGCAGCAUAAUGGAUAGCAAUAUCUAUGGUGGCGACCGGCGCACGGGUGCGUAACGCGUAUGCAACCUACCUUUAACAGGGGGAUAACACUGAGAAAUUGGUACUAAUACCCCAUAAUAUCAUAGAAGGCAUCUUUUAUGGUUGAAAAUUCCGAUGGUUAGAGAUGGGCAUGCGUUGUAUUAGCUAGUUGGUGGGGUAACGGCUCACCAAGGCGACGAUACAUAGGGGGACUGAGAGGUUAACCCCCCACACUGGUACUGAGACACGGACCAGACUCCUACGGGAGGCAGCAGUGAGGAAUAUUGGUCAAUGGACGCAAGUCUGAACCAGCCAUGCCGCGUGCAGGAUGACGGCUCUAUGAGUUGUAAACUGCUUUUGUACGAGGGUAAACGCAGAUACGUGUAUCUGUCUGAAAGUAUCGUACGAAUAAGGAUCGGCUAACUCCGUGCCAGCAGCCGCGGUAAUACGGAGGAUUCAAGCGUUAUCCGGAUUUAUUGGGUUUAAAGGGUGCGUAGGCGGUUUGAUAAGUUAGAGGUGAAACUUCGGGGCUCAACCCUGAACGUGCCUCUAAUACUGUUGAGCUAGAGAGUAGUUGCGGUAGGCGGAAUGUAUGGUGUAGCGGUGAAAUGCUUAGAGAUCAUACAGAACACCGAUUGCGAAGGCAGCUUACCAAACUAUAUCUGACGUUGAGGCACGAAAGCGUGG
Molecule: ribosomal RNA, 718 nt
Filed under: uncultured bacterium
Lineage: Bacteria
Description: bacterial SSU rRNA
Rfam family: Bacterial small subunit ribosomal RNA
Source: RNAcentral